This 496-nucleotide ribosomal RNA is filed under the name uncultured bacterium. Its description in RNAcentral is "partial 16S ribosomal RNA". It matches the Rfam family "Bacterial small subunit ribosomal RNA", at positions 29 to 507 of the family's 1533-position model. The record is from RNAcentral.
ACGAACGCUGGCGGCGUGCCUAAUACAUGCAAGUUGAGCGCUGAAGGUUGGUACUUGUACCAACUGGAUGAGCAGCGAACGGGUGUGUAACGCGUGGGGAAUCUGCCUUUGAGCAGGGGACAACAUUUGGAAACGAAUGCUAAUACCGCAUAAAAACUUUAAACACAAGUUUUAAGUUUGAAAGAUGCAAUUGCAUCACUCAAAGAUGAUCCCGCGUUGUAUUAGCUAGUUGGUGAGGUAAAGGCUCACCAAGGCGAUGAUACAUAGCCGACCUGAGAGGGUGAUCGGCCACAUUGGGACUGAGACACGGCCCAAACUCCUACGGGAGGCAGCAGUAGGGAAUCUUCGGCAAUGGACGAAAGUCUGACCGAGCAACGCCGCGUGAGUGAAGAAGGUUUUCGGAUCGUAAAACUCUGUUGGUAGAGAAGAACGUUGGUGAGAGUGGAAAGCUCACCAAGUGACGGUAACUACCCAGAAAGGGACGGCUAACUACGUG